CGGGCUGUGGCUCAGCUUGGUAGAGCGCUGCGUUCGGGACGCAGAGGUCGCUGGUUCAAAUCCAGUCAGCCCGA
This 74-nucleotide transfer RNA is filed under the name Planctomycetota bacterium. Its description in RNAcentral is "Planctomycetes bacterium (hydrothermal vent metagenome) tRNA-Pro". It matches the Rfam family "tRNA". Rfam says of the family: Transfer RNA (tRNA) molecules are approximately 80 nucleotides in length. Their secondary structure includes four short double-helical elements and three loops (D, anti-codon, and T loops). The record is from RNAcentral. RNAcentral also lists the same sequence under 2 other names. Lineage: Bacteria; Pseudomonadati; Planctomycetota.